RNAcentral lists this ribosomal RNA (450 nucleotides) under uncultured bacterium. RNAcentral describes it as "partial 16S ribosomal RNA". It matches the Rfam family "Bacterial small subunit ribosomal RNA", at positions 354 to 796 of the family's 1533-position model. The record is from RNAcentral.
GUGGGGAAUAUUCCGCAAUGGACGAAAGUCUGACGGAGCAACGCCGCGUGAGUGAUGAAGGUUUUCGGACUGUAAAGCUCUGUUGUUUAGGACGAAAGUGCCUGUUGCGAACAGUUACAGGUAUUGACGGUACUAAACGAGGAAGCCACGGCUAACUACGUGCCAGCAGCCGCGGUAAUACGUAGGUGGCAAGCGUUGUCCGGAAUUAUUGGGCGUAAAGAGCAUGUAGGCGGAGAUUUAAGUCUGUUGUGAAAAUGCGGGGCUCAACCCCGUAUGGCGAUGGAAACUGAAUUUCUUGAGUGCAGGAGAGGAAAGGGGAAUUCCCAGUGUAGCGGUGAAAUGCGUAGAUAUUGGGAGGAACACCAGUGGCGAAGGCGGCUUUCUGGACGGUGUCUGACACUGAGGCGCGAAAGCUAGGGGAGCGAACGGGAUUAGAAACCCGGGUAGUCC